This 204-nucleotide ribosomal RNA is filed under the name uncultured bacterium. RNAcentral describes it as "partial 16S ribosomal RNA". It matches the Rfam family "Bacterial small subunit ribosomal RNA", at positions 524 to 727 of the family's 1533-position model. The record is from RNAcentral.
GACGUAGGGCGCAAGCGUUGUCCGGAUUUAUUGGGCGUAAAGAGCUCGUAGGCGGCUUGUCGCGUCGACUGUGAAAACCCGCGGCUAACUGUGGGACUGCGAGUCGAUACGGGCUAGCUAGAGUUCGGUAGGGGAGACUGGAAUUCCUGGUGAGCGGUGAAAUGCGCAGAGUAUCAAGGAGGAACACCGGUGCGAAGGGCGGAA